RNAcentral lists this transfer RNA (770 nucleotides) under Bradyrhizobium sp. SR43. Its description in RNAcentral is "partial 16S-23S ribosomal RNA intergenic spacer". The stretch from base 109 to 182 matches the Rfam family "tRNA". The record is from RNAcentral. Lineage: Bacteria; Pseudomonadati; Pseudomonadota; Alphaproteobacteria; Hyphomicrobiales; Nitrobacteraceae.
AGCUGCAUUGGCGGGAUUUCGCCGUCUUCGUUUCUCUUUCUUCGCGGACGAACACGCGCUGGGGCUGCAGGCUUGCGGAUCCCUGGUCCUUGACUGGAUAUGCGUUAGGGGCUUGUAGCUCAGUUGGUUAGAGCGCGCGCUUGAUAAGCGUGAGGUCGGAAGUUCAAGUCUUCCCAGGCCCACCAGCCUUCGCGCUUCGCUGCUUCGGCUAGGCGAGCCUUUCGAAAACGGAGGCUGCCACGCCGUAGGCUUGGCGAAGGCGGGCUAAUCAAACGAGCAUUCGUCUUCUGGUUACGGGGCCAUAGCUCAGCUGGGAGAGCGCGUGCUUUGCAAGCAUGAGGUCGUCGGUUCGAUCCCGUCUGGCUCCACCAGAUGGUUUGAUCACCGAGGUCCUGCACCGUCGUCCGCGAAACAUCACUUCGCAUCCUGCUAGUCUGGAUAGACAGCAAGAUGCGUGUUUUCUGACAUCGUAAAGAGGAGAUCGAUCCGAGUUGGGUCGUGCAGCAUAUCGUUGCGCGAGCCUUCAUUAUCUCCGGAUCAUUUUCGGCGCUCGCUUUCAGCCGUGAGGUUGAAUGCGAGUUGUAAAAUGAUCCUUUUAGCGAAGCUUGACCGCCUCGCUAUCGGAACGAUCUUACGAAGCAAGCUGGUCUUUCUAGUCAAUGUCCGGCUGUACGUAGCGUUCAUCGAGGGCGCGCGCCUUAGAGAUUUCCGUCUCGCGGCAAUCGUACAGACAACAUUCUGCCGAGUGUGUGGACAUUGAUAAUGAGAGC